AAACUUUUUAGUCAUGUCUUUGAAACAAAGAACAGCUAACAUUUUAAAACAUUUGCUUUUCAGGCAGGAGCACUUUUAAGUUGGCAGUAAUACAGCUAAGCUCUGAACAAGGAGAAGGGGAGACGGACAGCUGCAGUAACUGAGUCCACACGAGCUGAGCUCAAAGGAACCUUCAUGUCCCUGUGCGUGUAUCCUUACAGCGCUCACAGAACUCCAGAUUCUCCGUGGUGCCUCAGGACUGCAAAUACUGCUGUUCUUGGGGUCAUCAGUUUAGAAGCUCUCUGAUUACAACCUGAUCACAGUCCUGUCUUGUUCUUGGCAAGGAGUGGUUCUGACAACAGGAGGUGACCUGUCACUUACAACUUUUAGCUGCGUGCUGAGAUUCAUUUGAAGCUGUUAUGUUAAUAAAUUGUAUACUCUUCUUUCCA
Molecule: long non-coding RNA, 428 nt
Organism: Phascolarctos cinereus (koala)
Lineage: Eukaryota; Metazoa; Chordata; Mammalia; Diprotodontia; Phascolarctidae
Source: Ensembl